This 597-nucleotide ribosomal RNA is filed under the name Papiliotrema laurentii. Its description in RNAcentral is "eukaryotic LSU rRNA". It matches the Rfam family "Eukaryotic large subunit ribosomal RNA", at positions 62 to 648 of the family's 3401-position model. The record is from RNAcentral. Lineage: Eukaryota; Fungi; Basidiomycota; Tremellomycetes; Tremellales; Rhynchogastremaceae.
AAACCAACAAGGAUUCCCCUAGUAACGGCGAGUGAACCGGGAAGAGCUCAAAUUUGAAAUCUGGCGUCCUCAGGGCGUCCGAGUUGUAAUCUAUAGAGGCGUUUUCCGUGCCGGACCGUGUCCAAGUUCCUUGGAACAGGAUAUCAAAGAGGGUGACAAUCCCGUACUUGACACGACGACCGGUGCUCUGUGAUACGUCUUCUACGAGUCGAGUUGUUUGGGAAUGCAGCUCAAAAUGGGUGGUGAGUUCCAUCUAAAGCUAAAUAUUGGCGAGAGACCGAUAGCGAACAAGUACCGUGAGGGAAAGAUGAAAAGCACUUUGGAAAGAGAGUUAAACAGUACGUGAAAUUGUUGAAAGGGAAACGAUUGAAGUCAGUCGUGACCGAGAGGCUCAGCCGGUUCUGCCGGUGUAUUCCCCUCGGUCGGGUCAACAUCAGUUUUGUCCGGUGGAUAAGGGCGGUAGGAAGGUGGCACCCUCGGGUGUGUUAUAGCCUGCCGUCGCAUACAUCGGGUGAGACUGAGGAACGCAGCUCGCCUUUAUGGCCGGGGUUCGCCCACGUCCGAGCUUAGGAUGUUGACAUAAUGGCUUUAAACGAC